CGCGUGGGUAAUCUGCCCUUCGGUCUGGGAUAACCUCGGGAAACUGGGGCUAAUACCGGAUAAGACCACGACGUCUUCGGGCGAUGUGGAAAAGAUGGCCUCUUCUUGAAAGCUAUCACCGAUUGAUGAGCCCGCGUUCCAUUAGCUUGUUGGUGAGGUAACGGCUCACCAAGGCUCCGAUGGAUAGCUGGUCUGAGAGGAUGAUCAGCCACACUGGAACUGAGACACGGUCCAGACUCCUACGGGAGGCAGCAGUCGGGAAUUUUGGGCAAUGGGGGCAACCCUGACCCAGCAACGCCG
Molecule: ribosomal RNA, 300 nt
Filed under: uncultured delta proteobacterium
Lineage: Bacteria; Deltaproteobacteria
Description: bacterial SSU rRNA
Rfam family: Bacterial small subunit ribosomal RNA
Source: RNAcentral